Molecule: ribosomal RNA, 405 nt
Filed under: Bacillota bacterium
Lineage: Bacteria; Bacillati; Bacillota
Description: Firmicutes bacterium partial 16S ribosomal RNA
Rfam family: Bacterial small subunit ribosomal RNA
Source: RNAcentral
UGGGGAAUAUUGUGCAAUGGGGGAAACCCUGACACAGCGACGCCGCGUGAGCGAAGUAGGCCUUCGGGUCGUAAAGCUCAAUAGUAUGGGAAGAAAUAAAUGACGGUACCAUACGAAAGCCCCGGCUAACUACGUGCCAGCAGCCGCGGUAAUACGUAGGGGGCGAGCGUUGUCCGGAAUUACUGGGCGUAAAGAGCACGUAGGCUGCUAUAAAAGUCAGAUGUGAAAAACCUGGGCUCAACCGAGGGUGUGCAUCUGAAACUAAAUAGCUUGAGUCAAGGAGAGGAGAGCGGAAUUCCUGGUGUAGCGGUGAAAUGCGUAGAGAUCAGGAAGAAUACCAGUGGCGAAAGCGGCUCUCUGGACUUGAACUGACGCUGAGGUGCGAAAGCGUGGGGAGCAAACAGG